Molecule: ribosomal RNA, 450 nt
Filed under: Triticum aestivum (bread wheat)
Lineage: Eukaryota; Viridiplantae; Streptophyta; Magnoliopsida; Poales; Poaceae
Description: partial small subunit ribosomal RNA
Source: RNAcentral
AUCGAACCCGAGGUUUUUAAGUCUAUCGUGGAUUACCUUAGAAGAGAGGGAUUGAAGGGCACGUCGCGUGUUUCUGUCGAGGAGCAAUUGGCAAUGUUCAUGUACAUGAUCUCGCACAAUGCUAGUAAUCAAGAUCUACAAAAAUACUUCCAACACAGCGCAGAAACAAUUCAUAGGAAGAUAAACGAUUUUUUUGACUUAAUUCCAACUCUAGCCCAAAGAUUUAUAAAGAUUCCAAGUUCACUCCAGCCCCAUCCGAAGAUUGUUUCGAACAAUCGCUAUUGGCCUUAUUUCCAGGUGAACCACUACACACACAUCUCCAUAUCAAUGGAAUUUUUGAAAACUUCUCCACAUAGAUUUCUAAACCUAGCAACUUUGUUGUUUCUUUUUCAAUGUGCAGAACUGCAUUGGUGCUAUAGAUGGAACACAUAUCCCCAUCACUAUUGCUGA